UACCCUGUAGGUACGACCUUGUGUGCCUAAUACAGUUUACGAGGUUGUGACUACAGUGUAUG
This 62-nucleotide microRNA precursor is filed under the name Eptatretus burgeri (inshore hagfish). RNAcentral's name for it is "Ebu-Mir-10-P1e_pre stem-loop". Lineage: Eukaryota; Metazoa; Chordata; Myxini; Myxiniformes; Myxinidae. The record is from RNAcentral.